Molecule: RNA transcript, 2679 nt
Organism: Varroa destructor (honeybee mite)
Lineage: Eukaryota; Metazoa; Arthropoda; Arachnida; Mesostigmata; Varroidae
Source: RefSeq, a predicted model, not a curated record
ACCCACGACACGAGUCCAAAGACACGAGUCUCAAUCUAUUGCACCUGGGUAGAAAAAGCUAAACGCCGGAAUGAACUAACAUCCGUUCUUGUUGUCGACAAAAUGAUUCACUUACUGAUAUCAGGCUAUACGCCAAAGGUUCAGCAGGGCUAUAAUACCCCGUCCAUUCUCUCGCCACCUCCUAAAUUAAUGGUAAGGACGAAGUGUGUCUAAUCGGGAUUGAGAUCAGGGCCAUGUCUAAUUUGACGCAAAACUUUGAUAAUAAUCAUCGAUAUUGAUAGCUGAUCGAGUGCAGUAGUAUGGCUUGGGGCAAUCUGCAGCGGCCAUCGGUGCAAAUUAAUAUGCUUGCAAACGUGAAACUCUUGUUCAGUGAGCGACCAGUUCGUCAAGGCGGGUAUACAUUUUUCGUUAUCGCUCCGUGUGGUAAUUGAAGAGUAACUCAGUCAGUUUAUCUUCAUGAUGUGUGCUUAUACACCAUACGUCCGCUCCAGUUUGUUGAGCUGCUGAAGACGCCUCGGCAGGGACAUUCCUGUAUCUGAUAUUCGGUGAUCCCGAUAUUUCACUUUAACACGUUAUAGUCUAUGGAUAUAGCGAACAUGGAGGAAUCGACAGAUGUUGUCGAUAGCAUGAGAAUAGUCGAUUCUCAGGCGAAGAUCAGCUCUCCACGGAAUGUCCACUCUCCAGAAGUUUCUUCACCACUUACGCGAGAAAGAAAUGAAGUGGUUUCAUGCGCUGAACUAUCUCCUCGGAUGACGAUAUCUGUUGGAGAAAAUUCGGAGUCAAAGGAAGCGUGUGACGAGGUUCGGCUGGUAAGAACCGCGUCAUCUGAGAACUCAGCGAAUUUAACUUAUUAUGCUCAGCAGACAUUACAGUCAACCGGUACGCUCAGCCAACAAACUCCGGAAAAGGCAGUGUCUAGAACACCCGACCUUACUUGUUCAUAUAGUCCAUUGCCUCACGUGUCUCCAGGUGCGUCCUCAGAGACAACGAUUAUGGCCAAGGCCGUUAAUGUUACCGCCCAAGAGAGGGAUGCGGAACAUGGAGACUGCCAUAAAGAGCAGCACUCGCUUCAAAUAGAUUGUGAUCCGCAACAAGCAGUCGACGCUAAUGAUGACGCUAAUGAUAACAAGGUUAUAAUGGCUGUACCUACUUACGAUUCAAGUUCAGAAAUCGUAAUAACAGACGUAUUGGUUGGUUCUCGUGAGGCCGACAAAGAAAUAAAAGCGAAGGAUCUUUCAGACGAAAUGACCAGUUCUCCUGCGGAAGAGAGCAGCCCAUCGUGUGACGUUACCUCCCUUAAAGCAGUGCCUCUGAAGUCUCUUUCGCCUCUAAAGACAGUUCGGGCUACUUCUCCGGUGAAAGCAGUUUCUCCCAUAAAGGUUGUUUCUAUGCGGGCAAUUUCUCCAGUAAAAGUUGUUUCUCCCGUCAAGGGUGGUUCCUUUACAAAGGUUGCAUCUUUAGUGAAAGUUGCCUCUCCCGUUAAAAUCGUAGUACCCAUGAAAGUCGUUUCUCCUCCUUCAGGGUCUACUCCUCCUGCUGAUAGUACAAUAUCCGCGAAAUUGGAGUCAUCUAAUAAAAGUGUUUCCUCGGUGAAAACAGCUGCCGUUAUGAAAGUGGCAUCUUCUGUUACGGUGGUGUCCUCCGCAAAAACUUUAUCUUUUCCACGGGUUGUAUCUGAACGAGCAAACAUAGACUCUGCAGACGACCCUCCUUCCACUCCCGUGAAGGAAGGGGUUGUCGUCAAUUUCCAAAAACCUAUGUCCAGUGCUGGAUGGGGAGAGGAGGAGGCUGUAUCGUCUGAAGAAGGAGCCGAAGCAAUGUCCGAAGAAGGCGAUGAAGGUGAUUCAAUUGAGACCGAGCCGGAAGUAGUCACCGAAAGAGACGCGGGAUUUAAGGUAAACUGGUUGGCCCUCCGCGACGCAGCAACGGGUCGGUUGUUGUGGGCUACCGAUGUUGAUCUAGCUUGUGGCGAUCCCGAGCUUCGUGUUGUUGCCAAGGUCCCAAAAGAGAUCUUACAUAUGGACGCCAUUCAUCGAGAAUUGAACUUCUCCACUGCUGAAAGCCUGGACGAUUUCCGCCUUGAGCAACGCGUGCUAUUUAAAGGCCGAUGUCUAGAAGAGUGGCACUUUCACUUGGGAUCUGUAGAGCCCACUUCAUCGCAAACAUGGACUUCUGUGUUUCACAGCACACCGGAGUGCCAGUUAAUGCCGUUCGAAACUCUUAACGGCCACCUCUUUUUGUGUAUCUGGGCGAUGUACGCAACAUGUCGACACGUCGUGGCCAAAGCUGGGUACUUUUUGUUAGUCCCAGUCGAAAUGGGCAGUUUGAAGCCGCAGAUCAACGAUCGCCAAUGCGUAACUUGUCUUUGCGGAUGACCUCGCAGAUUGAUCUUAUUAUUGCGGCUCCUAUAUUAAAUGAUGUUGAAUGAACAUGGCUCUUAAGUGAACCAUUUAUUGUACAGGAAUCAGGUAUUUCGUUCAUAAAAGGACUUCCGGGUGCACUCUGUGCACAACUAACGUCAUCGAAAUAUGAGCAUUCGUAGCGCGUCGUGCCUAUCACACCAGAUGUGUGACUUUUCCAUCUAUGGCUUCUCAAGAGACGUGAACUACUCCAGCAUUUUCAUCCGUGCCGCUAUGUGAAGCUUGGGCGUCAAGGAUGAUCGUGCGAAACCAGGAUAUG